This 140-nucleotide ribosomal RNA is filed under the name uncultured eukaryote. RNAcentral describes it as "partial 18S ribosomal RNA". It matches the Rfam family "Eukaryotic small subunit ribosomal RNA", at positions 1299 to 1458 of the family's 1831-position model. The record is from RNAcentral.
UCGUGGAAUGAUUUGUCUGGUUGAUUCCGUUAACGAGCGAGAUCUUAGCCUGCUAAAUAGGCCGUCAAAACUUCAGUUUUGAUCGAGCCUUCUUAGAGGGACAUUGCGUGUUUAACGCACGGAAGUUUGAGGCAAUAACA